GACGAACGCUGGCGGCGUGCUUAACACAUGCAAGUCGAACGGACAGGCCAUGCUUUUGUGGGGUGCUCGUGUGGCGAACGGGUGAGUAUCACGUGAGUGAACUGCCCUUGUCUUUGGGAUAUAUUCAGGAAACUGGGGCUAAUACCCGCUAUGAGCUCCAGCUGCAUGUUGUGGGUUGGAAAGUUUCGGCGGUUGGGGCUGGACUCGCGGCUUCUCAGCUUGUUGGUGGGGUAGUGGCUUACAAAGGCUUUGAAGGGUAGCCGGCAUGAGAGGGUGACCGGCCACAAUGGGACUGAGAGACGGCCCAGACGCCUACGGUAGGCAGCAGGGGGGAAUAUUGCAGAAUGGGCGGAAGCCUGAUGCAGCAACGCCGCGUGCGGGAUGACGUCCUUCGGGGUGUAAACCACUUUCUCCGGUGACGAAGCGUGAGUGACGGUAAUUAGUAAAGAAGCACCGGCUAACUACGUG
Molecule: ribosomal RNA, 468 nt
Filed under: uncultured bacterium
Lineage: Bacteria
Description: partial 16S ribosomal RNA
Rfam family: Bacterial small subunit ribosomal RNA
Source: RNAcentral